Molecule: ribosomal RNA, 502 nt
Filed under: Trichocomaceae sp.
Lineage: Eukaryota; Fungi; Ascomycota; Eurotiomycetes; Eurotiales; Trichocomaceae
Description: SSU rRNA
Rfam family: Eukaryotic small subunit ribosomal RNA
Source: RNAcentral
UGUUGCAGUUAAAAAGCUCGUAGUCGAACCUUGGGUCUGGCUGGCCGGUCCGCCUCACCGCGAGUACUGGUCCGGCUGGACCUUUCCUUCUGGGGAACCUCAUGGCCUUCACUGGCUGUGGGGGGAACCAGGACUUUUACUGUGAAAAAAUUAGAGUGUUCAAAGCAGGCCUUUGCUCGAAUACAUUAGCAUGGAAUAAUAGAAUAGGACGUGUGGUUCUAUUUUGUUGGUUUCUAGGACCGCCGUAAUGAUUAAUAGGGAUAGUCGGGGGCGUCAGUAUUCAGCUGUCAGAGGUGAAAUUCUUGGAUUUGCUGAAGACUAACUACUGCGAAAGCAUUCGCCAAGGAUGUUUUCAUUAAUCAGGGAACGAAAGUUAGGGGAUCGAAGACGAUCAGAUACCGUCGUAGUCUUAACCAUAAACUAUGCCGACUAGGGAUCGGACGGGAUUCUAUAAUGACCCGUUCGGCACCUUACGAGAAAUCAAAGUUUUUGGGUUCUGGGG